GGCUACGAGGACGAACGCUGGCGGCGUGCUUAACACAUGCAAGUCGAACGAGAGGACAUGAGAAGCUUGCUUCUUAUGAAAUCGAGUGGCAAACGGGUGAGUAACGCGUAUCCAACCUGCCCACCACUUGGGAUAACCUUGCGAAAGUAAGACUAAUACCCAAUGACGUCCAUAGAAGACAUCUGAAGUGGAUUAAAGAUUUAUCGGUGAUGGAUGGGGAUGCGUCUGAUUAGCUUGUUGGCGGGUAACGGCCCACCAAGGCGACGAUCAGUAGGGGUUCUGAGAGGAAGGUCCCCCACAUUGGAACUGAGACACGGUCCAAACUCCUACGGGAGGCAGCAGUGAGGAAUAUUGGUCAAUGGGCGAGAGCCUGAACCAGCCAAGUAGCGUGCAGGAUGACGGCCCUAUGGGUUGUAAACUGCUUUUAUAAGGGAAUAAAGUGGAGGUCGUGACCUCUUUUGCAUGUACCUUAUGAAUAAGGACCGGCUAAUUCCGUG
RNAcentral lists this ribosomal RNA (497 nucleotides) under uncultured bacterium. RNAcentral's name for it is "bacterial SSU rRNA". It matches the Rfam family "Bacterial small subunit ribosomal RNA", at positions 26 to 507 of the family's 1533-position model. The record is from RNAcentral.